AGGGUUUGAUUAUGGCUCAGGAUGAACGCUGGCGGCGUGCUUAACACAUGCAAGUCGAACGAAGCACUCUAUUUGAUUUUCUUCGGAAAUGAAGAUUUUGUGACUGAGUGGCGGACGGGUGAGUAACGCGUGGGUAACCUGCCUCAUACAGGGGGAUAACAGUUGGAAACGACUGCUAAUACCGCAUAAGCGCACAGGAUUGCAUGAUCCGGUGUGAAAAACUCUGGUGGUAUGAGAUGGACCCGCGUCUGAUUAGCUAGUUGGCAGGGUAACGGCCUACCAAAGCGACGAUCAGUAGCCGACCUGAGAGGGUGACCGGCCACAUUGGGACUGAGACACGGCCCAA
Molecule: ribosomal RNA, 346 nt
Filed under: uncultured bacterium
Lineage: Bacteria
Description: bacterial SSU rRNA
Rfam family: Bacterial small subunit ribosomal RNA
Source: RNAcentral